RNAcentral lists this ribosomal RNA (366 nucleotides) under uncultured bacterium. Its description in RNAcentral is "bacterial SSU rRNA". It matches the Rfam family "Bacterial small subunit ribosomal RNA", at positions 30 to 395 of the family's 1533-position model. The record is from RNAcentral.
AUUGAACGCUGGCGGCAUGCCUUACACAUGCAAGUCGAACGGCAGCACGGGGGCAACCCUGGUGGCGAGUGGCGAACGGGUGAGUAAUGCAUCGGAACGUGCCCAGUAGUGGGGGAUAACUAGUCGAAAGAUUAGCUAAUACCGCAUACGACCUAUGGGUGAAAGCGGGGGACCUUUACCGGCCUCGCGCUAUCGGAGCGGCCGAUGUCUGAUUAGCUAGUUGGCGGGGAAAANCCCACCAAGGCGACGAUCAGUAGCUGGUCUGAGAGGACGACCAGCCACACUGGGACUGAGACACGGCCCAGACUCCUACGGGAGGCAGCAGUGGGGAAUUUUGGACAAUGGGCGCAAGCCUGAUCCAGCCAU